Molecule: ribosomal RNA, 604 nt
Filed under: uncultured bacterium
Lineage: Bacteria
Description: bacterial SSU rRNA
Rfam family: Bacterial small subunit ribosomal RNA (bases 1-521)
Source: RNAcentral
CCUACGGGAGGCAGCAGUGGGGAAUAUUGGACAAUGGACGAAAGUCUGAUCCAGCAAUGCCGCGUGAGUGAUGAAGGCCUUAGGGUUGUAAAGCUCUUUUACCAGGGAUGAUAAUGACAGUACCUGGAGAAUAAGCUCCGGCUAACUCCGUGCCAGCAGCCGCGGUAAUACGGAGGGAGCUAGCGUUGUUCGGAAUUACUGGGCGUAAAGCGCACGUAGGCGGUUAUUCAAGUCAGAGGUGAAAGCCCGGGGCUCAACCCCGGAACUGCCUUUGAAACUAGAUAGCUAGAAUCCUGGAGAGGUGAGUGGAAUUCCGAGUGUAGAGGUGAAAUUCGUAGAUAUUCGGAAGAACACCAGUGGCGAAGGCGGCUCACUGGACAGGUAUUGACGCUGAGGUGCGAAAGCGUGGGGAGCAAACAGGAUUAGAUACCCCGGUAGUCCACGCCGUAAACGAUGAUAACUAGCUGUCCGGGCACAUGGUGCGUUGGGUGGCGCNGCGUACGACAUUAAGUUAUUCCGUCCGUCGGGUAGGUACGGUCGCGAGAGUAAACUACGAAGAAGUAAGUAGCGUUGAGAGUUGCGACGGCGACGACGAGGGAGGAGG